GACGAACGCUGGCGGCGUGCUUAACACAUGCAAGUCGAACGGUAUCCAUGUUGUAGCAAUACUUCGGAAGAUCUAGUGGCGAACGGGUGAGGAACACGUGAGAAACCUGCCCCGAACUUCGGGAUAACAGUUGGAAACGACUGCUAAUACCGAAUACCUCUGCGAAGUGGCAUCACUUUGCAAAGAAAGAAUUUCGGUUCGGGUGGGUUUCGCGGCCUAUCAGCUAGUUGGUGGGGUAACGGCCUACCAAGGCAUCGACGGGUAGUGGGUCUGAGAGAAUGAUCAGGCACACUGGGACUGAGACACGGCCCAGACUCCUACGGGAGGCAGCAGUGGGGAAUCUUGUGAAAUGGGCGAAAGCGUGACACAGCAACGCCGCGUGCGGGAAGAAGGCCUUCGGGUCGUAAACCGCUUUCAGCAGGAACGAAAAUGACGGUACCUGCAGAAGAAGGUGCGGCCAACUACGUGCCAGCCGCCGCCGUAA
RNAcentral lists this ribosomal RNA (484 nucleotides) under uncultured bacterium. RNAcentral describes it as "partial 16S ribosomal RNA". It matches the Rfam family "Bacterial small subunit ribosomal RNA", at positions 28 to 523 of the family's 1533-position model. The record is from RNAcentral.